Molecule: small nucleolar RNA, 88 nt
Filed under: Chinchilla lanigera (long-tailed chinchilla)
Lineage: Eukaryota; Metazoa; Chordata; Mammalia; Rodentia; Chinchillidae
Description: Small nucleolar RNA SNORD116 (ENSCLAG00000020235.1)
Rfam family: Small nucleolar RNA SNORD116
About the family: HBII-85 is a member of the C/D class of snoRNAs, which contain the C (UGAUGA) and D (CUGA) box motifs. HBII-85 is encoded in a tandemly repeated array with another C/D snoRNA, HBII-52, in the Prader-Willi syndrome (PWS) region of chromosome 15. Unlike most other snoRNAs, HBII-85 is expressed prevalently in the brain (but is absent in PWS patients) and lacks any significant complementarity with ribosomal RNA.
Source: RNAcentral
GGAUCAAUGAUGAUACCCCAGGUGCAUUCGUUGGAGUCAAACAAAAUGAGUGAAAACUCAAAACUAUCGCUCUCCUCAUGAAGUUAGC